Molecule: ribosomal RNA, 301 nt
Filed under: uncultured bacterium
Lineage: Bacteria
Description: partial 16S ribosomal RNA
Rfam family: Bacterial small subunit ribosomal RNA
Source: RNAcentral
CAGCAGCCGCGGUAAUACGAAGGGUGCGAGCGUUAAUCGGAAUUAUUGGGCGUAAAGCGUGCGUAGGCGGUGAGUUAAGUCUGCUGUGAAAUCCCCGGGCUCAACCUGGGAAUGGCAGUGGAUACUGGCUCGCUAGAGUGUGUCAGAGGAUGGUGGAAUUCCCGGUGUAGCGGUGAAAUGCGUAGAGAUCGGGAGGAACAUCAGUGGUGAAGGCGGCCAUCUGGGACAACACUGACGCUGAGGCACGAAAGCGUGGGGAGCAAACAGGAUUAGAUACCCCAGUAGUCCCUGUCUCUUAUAC